UUGCUGUAAUGGCUGUUGUCGGAAGGGUCAAGACCUUGUCGCGGCUUUGGUCCAGCGCUUACAGUUUGAGGUGUCCUGUUCGAUUCCUGCGGUCGGCGUGCGGCAGCUAUGGGAAACCUGGUAUUGUCGUCGCCAGCAAUGAGCUGGGGUACCGCUGAAGGGUAGAAAUACAGCACAGCGUCCAGCCCGUGGCGAAGGCGAAGGGGACCGCAUCUCGCUGGUGUCUACGAGCGUUGGGGUUAAGCCGUUGGUUGACUUCAACUGCGACUGAUAAAAUU
Molecule: non-coding RNA, 278 nt
Organism: Pichia membranifaciens NRRL Y-2026
Lineage: Eukaryota; Fungi; Ascomycota; Pichiomycetes; Pichiales; Pichiaceae
Rfam family: Fungal signal recognition particle RNA
Source: Rfam